This 291-nucleotide long non-coding RNA is filed under the name Gossypium barbadense (sea-island cotton). RNAcentral's name for it is "long non-coding RNA (GBAR_LNC005587)". Lineage: Eukaryota; Viridiplantae; Streptophyta; Magnoliopsida; Malvales; Malvaceae. The record is from RNAcentral.
ACCCCCUUUCCUUAACCUUACAGGUGAGCCUUGAUGUGGGGACUUGGGCCGGAGGGGAUUCAGAGUAGUCACGGUGAUCGUCUUUGGACUUUUAAAUAACCGUUGGUUUUCCUUAAAUUUCCUUUAAUUAUUAUUUAUUUUUGGGUUGUAAUAAGGCCAUUUUAACUUUCCUUUUAUUUCUUUUCAGGAUUAUUUUAAUUUUAAUAACUUUAAAACUGGUUGAUAAUUAUUCAAAUGGGCUAGACUUAGGACGUGUUUUCAAAACGAUACUUGUUUUCAAAAUAUCUCAAC